GCACUCCAGCCUGCAUAAUAGAGUGAAAAUGUGUGAGAGAAAAAAAAAAGGCAACCCACACUUUGGGAACACUGAGCUACUCUUUAUGAUAUCCAAUUACCCUGAAGCUGCAUGUUGGAAAGGCCAUGUGGAGAUAUCAUGUAGAGGGAGAGAGAGGCCCAAUGAACCUCAACUAUUUUAGCUCUCAUUUUUGCAUCUUCCUAGUGAACUGACAGACAAAGGCUGGGAGCUGGAACCUUCUGAAGGCUCAUUCACUUGCAUGUCUGUCAUGAAGCUUCAGGGCAGCUCCAGCUGAUGCCAGGUGAGCAAAGAUGAGCUAUUUUCUCUAUACCCUGCCAAAACUGCAGAUCGUGAGUGAAACAAAUGCUGUUUUAAGCCACUUCAUUUUUGGAGGGGUUUCUCAUGCAGUAAUAUGUAGUGAGAACGCCCCUAAUGACCUGAGCUCAGACCAGAAGUAUUAUUUAAUCCCUUUUCUGUAAAAAAGUAGAAAUUUAGGUUCUUGAUGUACUCUUUUAUGGCAGACAGAAAUGACAAGUCAGAGGGUUUUAAACUCUUUGUUUCCAGGCUACUGGGUGAAUAUAACACAGGAGAUAUUUCUUCAGGGCCUCUGGGAAGCUAGAGAAAGAAAGAAUAAUUGAAGUGGUCCAGAAGGAAGAGAAACAUGUGACAGGCUAUGCCUGGUACCUCCAGACCAGAGGAGAGAACUCGGGAAAGCAGCAGGCAGUCCAGAAUGGCGAUGGGAAGAUCCAGAGGCAGCAAAGGCUUCUCUCCGCCAUGUGAAAGGCCUGAGUUUAGAUACCUCAGGGAAGUUUUAAUGCCAACCUUCUGUAAAACCCCCAUUCUCUAACGUAUGGCUUUAAUUAACAAUCAUGUAUCACUAUUGGUUUGUUAAUCAUAGCAAAUGGACCAUACUCCUGUAAGAUGUUAUCAACAGGAAAAAUUGAGGGAGAGGUAUAUGAAGCUCUGCACUAUCCUUGCAAUUUUUCUGUAAAUCUAAAACUGUUGUAAAAAAAAAUAAAGUUGGGGGAGG
RNAcentral lists this long non-coding RNA (1030 nucleotides) under Papio anubis (olive baboon). RNAcentral describes it as "lncRNA (ENSPANG00000042859.1)". Lineage: Eukaryota; Metazoa; Chordata; Mammalia; Primates; Cercopithecidae. The record is from RNAcentral.